RNAcentral lists this ribosomal RNA (756 nucleotides) under uncultured bacterium. RNAcentral describes it as "bacterial SSU rRNA". It matches the Rfam family "Bacterial small subunit ribosomal RNA", at positions 8 to 796 of the family's 1533-position model. The record is from RNAcentral.
AGAGUUUGAUCCUGGCUCAGAAUCAACGCUGGCGGCGUGCCUAACACAUGCAAGUCGCACGAGAAAGUGGAGCAAUCCAUGAGUAAAGUGGCGCACGGGUGAGUAACACGUGACUAACCUACCCUCGAGUGGGGAAUAACUUCGGGAAACCGAGGCUAAUACCGCAUAACACUUACGAGUCAAAGCAGUAAUGCGCUUGAGGAGGGGGUCGCGGCAGAUUAGCUAGUUGGUGAGGUAAUGGCUCACCAAGGCGAUGAUCUGUAUCCGGCCUGAGAGGGCGCACGGACACACUGGAACUGAAACACGGUCCAGACUCCUACGGGAGGCAGCAGUGGGGAAUUUUGCGCAAUGGGGGAAACCCUGACGCAGCAACGCCGCGUGGAGGAUGAAAUCCCUUGGGAUGUAAACUCCUUUCGAUCGGGACGAUUAUGACGGUACCGGAAGAAGAAGCCCCGGCUAACUUCGUGCCAGCAGCCGCGGUAAUACGAGGGGGGCGAGCGUUGUUCGGAAUUAUUGGGCGUAAAGGGUGCGUAGGCGGUUUGAUAAGUCUGAUGUGAAAUCUAUGGGCUCAACCCAUAGUCUGCAUUAGAAACUGUCGGGCUUGAGUAUGGGAGAGGUGAGUGGAAUUUCCGGUGUAGCGGUGAAAUGCGUAGAUAUCGGAAGGAACACCUGUGGCGAAAGCGGCUCACUGGACCAUUACUGACGCUGAUGCACGAAAGCUAGGGGAGCAAACAGGAUUAGAUACCCCGGUAGUCC